GGAGGUCAUCCUUGGUUCACA
RNAcentral lists this microRNA (21 nucleotides) under Rosa chinensis. Its description in RNAcentral is "sRNA RchiOBHm_Chr4g0400035". The record is from RNAcentral. Lineage: Eukaryota; Viridiplantae; Streptophyta; Magnoliopsida; Rosales; Rosaceae.